RNAcentral lists this ribosomal RNA (250 nucleotides) under uncultured bacterium. RNAcentral's name for it is "partial 16S ribosomal RNA". It matches the Rfam family "Bacterial small subunit ribosomal RNA", at positions 524 to 773 of the family's 1533-position model. The record is from RNAcentral.
UACGUAGGGUGCGAGCGUUAAUCGGAAUUACUGGGCGUAAAGCGUGCGCAGGCGGUGAGUUGUGUCCGAUGUGAAAGCCCCGGGCUUAACCUGGGAACGGCAUUGGAAACUGGCUCGCUGGAGUGCGGCAGAGGGGGGUGGAAUUCCGCGUGUAGCAGUGAAAUGCGUAGAGAUGCGGAGGAACACCGAUGGCGAAGGCAGCCCCCUGGGCCGACACUGACGCUCAGGCACGAAAGCGUGGGGAGCAAAC